This 331-nucleotide long non-coding RNA is filed under the name Numida meleagris (helmeted guineafowl). RNAcentral describes it as "lncRNA (ENSNMEG00000008992.1)". Lineage: Eukaryota; Metazoa; Chordata; Aves; Galliformes; Numididae. The record is from RNAcentral.
GCUUCCUGUUCCUCGCACUGCUAUCAUACUGCACCUCCUGAAGUCUUCUUCCUGGGCUCUGCUCAGGCUUGCCUCAACAGCAAGGCACAGGCGCAGCUUAAGGCCCAGCAGAGUCUGUGGGCUUUCUCUGAGAAGCACCAACAGGGAAGAAGUCUAUAAGUUCCUCUCAAGAUAUCCAAGGGGCAAUGAAGGUCAGUCAGUGCAGCCCAGCACAAACAAUGCGGACACAUCAGGAUGGGAAAGCCUGCAUUUAUUUGCCCAUGGAGAGAAAGCAGUCCUACUACAUGAUGGUGCCACACACGAUAGUGCAACACAAUGUGCCCUGUUUUAG